This 147-nucleotide non-coding RNA is filed under the name uncultured eukaryote. The record is from RNAcentral.
ACAAAAAAAAAAACGGAAACGGAAACGAAAAACGGAAAUAGAAACGAAUCGGAAACGGAAACGGAAACGAAACGACAUAAAAGAACUUAUCUGAGCUCGCCCACAUCCCGUAUUUAUCACACUCGUUUUUUUUUGAUUUUACUCUUU